CGGCCCUUCCAUUCUAUUUAGUGUGCGCUUGCAAAUCAUAUAUACAUAGAAUUUUUAAAUACACCAAAAAUGGAGCUUUGCACAGUGGCAGCAUCGUAGCCAAUGAGGUUUAUCUGAGGCGUGAUUAUUGCUAAUACACCAAAAAUAGGAUCUUAUACUGAGCAACUCACUUGUCUCAUUCAACAAAAUUUUCGGGAAACCUUUCCAUCUUCCUCAACAUAGGUCUGAAUGAUUCUUUAAUGACUGUGAUAUUACGAAGUAUGGUUCCUGUAAUACACCCAUCUCCUACCCCAAGGGGUAUUACAGUUGUGUCCAGCAGUUUGCUCUUGGCUGUGAAGCUUCAGCUUGUGCACCAGUGCUGCCCUCCCAGGAGGGGGCAGUCCUGAAAGUACAGUUGUUGAUGAUCUGCCUUUACUUUAACUUAAAAAUUUUAAAAAGUCUUAAAAUUCAAAGAUAGAGUGAAAGAUAUAGUGAAGGCUGCUUACUCUUAUUCCUCGGCCACUCUGAUCGCCUGCUAGAAGCCAGUUUGCUGGUUUCUUUUGUACCCUUCCAGUUUGAACUUUAAAACCCCCAACAGUCUACCCCACGGCCCUCAGAGAGGCUCCUGUUUUACUAGCCGCAGCAAUGGGCAGAUGGGCAGAAUCCCUUGCCAUCCCACUCUGAACCGCAUCUGAGCUGUACUGCACCCGGCUGUCCCUCUGGCUCUCCAUCUGCAUUCCCUCCUUUUUCUUCAGGCAGCUGUCUUUUCACUUCUAUACAAUCAAGUUUUUUUUUAACAUUGUAUUGUGUAAUUAUAAUGAAAUCAUCUGUACUUUUUCUAAAGGUUUAUUCAAAAAGCGGAAAACAACAAAACCCAUCUCUAUUACUAUGACUAUAUAAAUAUUGUUUGCUCCAUAACUAAAUAACAUAAUACAACUGUUUCUUCCCCAUACAGUCUUUUACCCUCAGAGGUUCUAAUUACCUCUCUUUGCUUUUAUUAUAUCUUCAAUUUCUUUUUCUUAUUGUGAAGUGUUUCAAGUAGGAAUAGGCAGGCAGAGAGGCCCACCUACCCCAACUCGAUGUCAUAAGUUCUGGAUAUAAUUAGGCAAAGCUAUAGAAGAUGAUUUUGGAAGGAAAGAUCUGAUAUGACUUCCUUUGUCAUUCAAGAUCUCCAAUGGAUCUCCCAGGUGUCAUUAAGACUUUACAUAAGGUGGGACCUCACUGGAUCUAGAGUCUCAGUGCUCACUAUCCCACUGCACAAGGGCAAAGAGAAGAUAAGAGGAUGCAGUGAUUGGGCAAAGAUAUUGGGGCUCAUAUCACUCUUCCAGAAAAACCCUGAAGACCUGUGUCUCUGUCUAGAGGUAUGCUUACAGAGAGCAAGCUCUCUUGGUUCUUGAGCCAAACUCGGCAUCAGCAAGAAAAUUGAGUAAGUGCCCGGAGUUAUUAUCACCCCAGCUUGUUUCCCUUUGGUCUGCCUUGUGAAUCUAGGAUUUUAAUAUCCUUUUACUUAUCCAGUCCCCCUGAUUCUGAGGUUGAUUGAAGUGCCACGGUCUAGUUCACUUUUUUGCAGUCCAUGUUUAUGAGUCAAGCAUCAGGAGAGUCAGAUCAGGGCAGGUGACUUCUUUGGCGCACUUUUCUCCAUACCAUUUGAACGUCACGGAUUCGGGGUCUAGCUCUGAUUCAGCUGGUUCUAGUGACUAAUCCUUACUUUCUUAUUGAUGCUUGUCACAGUUUUGGCCUCUUCAGCUUGACUCUUGUCACUCUUUUGGAUGUUUUUGAUGGUCUAUGUGAUAUUCUACUCCCAACUUCAGUUCUAUGGCUCCAAACACAGAAUCACCUAUUCUGUAUUCUUUUUGUAGUAGUGUUAGAAACCAAACGGAGUCCCAUUAAGAUGGCACAGCAAAUUCAUGACUUGGCCAACCUCUCUGUUCCAAACAUAUAAUAAAGACACAUAAAAUAUAAAAAAAGAAAAAAAAUAAAAA
This 1961-nucleotide long non-coding RNA is filed under the name Canis lupus familiaris (dog). RNAcentral describes it as "lncRNA (ENSCAFG00000057430.1, ENSCAFG00805005175.1, ENSCAFG00845008787.1)". The stretch from base 74 to 224 matches the Rfam family "U4 spliceosomal RNA". The record is from RNAcentral. Lineage: Eukaryota; Metazoa; Chordata; Mammalia; Carnivora; Canidae.